GGGGCCUUAGCUCAGCUGGGAGAGCACCUGCUUUGCACGCAGGAGGUCAGCGGUUCGAUCCCGCUAGGCUCCAUCA
Molecule: transfer RNA, 76 nt
Filed under: Streptococcus pyogenes ABC020014764
Lineage: Bacteria; Bacillati; Bacillota; Bacilli; Lactobacillales; Streptococcaceae
Description: tRNA-Ala
Rfam family: tRNA
About the family: Transfer RNA (tRNA) molecules are approximately 80 nucleotides in length. Their secondary structure includes four short double-helical elements and three loops (D, anti-codon, and T loops).
Source: RNAcentral